RNAcentral lists this ribosomal RNA (510 nucleotides) under uncultured bacterium. RNAcentral's name for it is "partial 16S ribosomal RNA". It matches the Rfam family "Bacterial small subunit ribosomal RNA", at positions 28 to 507 of the family's 1533-position model. The record is from RNAcentral.
GACGAACGCUGGCGGCGUGCCUAAUACAUGCAAGUCGAACGAAACUUUCUUACGCCGAAUGCUUGCAUUCACCGUAAGAAGUUGAGUGGCGGACGGGUGAGUAACACGUGGGUAACCUGCCUAAAAGAAGGGGAUAACACUUGGAAACAGGUGCUAAUACCGUAUAUCUCUAAGGAUCGCAUGAUCCUUAGAUGAAAGAUGGUUCUGCUAUCGCUUUUAGAUGGACCCGCGGCGUAUUAACUAGUUGGUGGGGUAACGGCCUACCAAGGUGAUGAUACGUAGCCGAACUGAGAGGUUGAUCGGCCACAUUGGGACUGAGACACGGCCCAAACUCCUACGGGAGGCAGCAGUAGGGAAUCUUCCACAAUGGACGCAAGUCUGAUGGAGCAACGCCGCGUGAGUGAAGAAGGUCUUCGGAUCGUAAAACUCUGUUGUUAGAGAAGAACACGAGUGAGAGUAACUGUUCAUUCGAUGACGGUAUCUAACCAGCAAGUCACGGCUAACUACGUG